This 259-nucleotide long non-coding RNA is filed under the name Populus tremula. Its description in RNAcentral is "long non-coding RNA (PTRE_LNC002197)". The record is from RNAcentral. Lineage: Eukaryota; Viridiplantae; Streptophyta; Magnoliopsida; Malpighiales; Salicaceae.
AACAACAAAUCCGUCAUCAUAAGCUUCAUGAAAACUAUCAUGGGACUGCAGACUACAAUGUUCUAGUAAGAAAGCAAAGAGUUGCAAGGAGAAUGGCUUUUCAUCGCUCAGUGCAUUCCAACAAAGCUUUAAUCUUUCUUCAAAGGACACAACCGCGAUGAGAGGAAACAAACACUGAAGCCUUGAAGAUGAAGAUUUGAAGCAUACACUAAACCAGUCCUUGGGUUGUUAGAUUUGAAGAUGAAGUUUGAAGCCUUGU